Molecule: ribosomal RNA, 465 nt
Filed under: uncultured bacterium
Lineage: Bacteria
Description: partial 16S ribosomal RNA
Rfam family: Bacterial small subunit ribosomal RNA
Source: RNAcentral
CUACGGGUCGCAGCAGUGAGGAAUUUUGCGCAAUGGGGGAAACCCUGACGCAGCAACGCCGCGUGAGCGAAGAAGGCCUUCGGGUCGUAAAGCUCUGUCAAGUGGGAAAAAAAUUCUUUGAUGAACAGUCAAAGGACUUGAUGGUACCACUGGAGGAAGCACCGGCUAACUCCGUGCCAGCGAGCCGCGGUAAUACGGAGGGUGCAAGCGUUGUUCGGAAUUACUGGGCGUAAAGAGCGUGUAGGCGGUUUGACAAGUCAGAUGUGAAAGCCCCGGGCUCAACCCGGGAAGUGCAUUUGAGACUGUUUCACUAGAGUAUGGGAGAGGGGAUUGGAAUUCCUGGUGUAGAGGUGAAAUUCGUAGAAAUCAGGAGGAACACCCGUGGCGAAGGCGAUUCUCUGGACCAAUACUGACGCUGAGACGCGAAAGCGUGGGGAGCAAACAGGAUUAGAUACCCCGGUAGUC